RNAcentral lists this ribosomal RNA (468 nucleotides) under uncultured bacterium. RNAcentral's name for it is "partial 16S ribosomal RNA". It matches the Rfam family "Bacterial small subunit ribosomal RNA", at positions 28 to 507 of the family's 1533-position model. The record is from RNAcentral.
GACGAACGCUGGCGGCGUGCUUAACACAUGCAAGUCGAACGGAAAGGCCCUGCUUUUGUGGGGUGCUCGAGUGGCGAACGGGUGAGUAACACGUGAGUAACCUGCCCUUGACUUUGGGAUAACUUCAGGAAACUGGGGCUAAUACCGGAUAGGAGCUCCUGCUGCAUGGUGGGGGUUGGAAAGUUUCGGCGGUUGGGGAUGGACUCGCGGCUUAUCAGCUUGUUUGUGGGGUAGUGGCUUACCAAGGCUUUGACGGGCAGCCGGCCUGAGAGGGUGACCGGCGACAUGGGGACUGAGAUACGGCCCAGACUCCUACGGGAGGCAGCAGUGGGGAAUAUUGCACAAUGGGCGGAAGCCUGAUGCAGCAACGCCGCGUGCGGGAUGACGGCCUUCGGGUUGUAAACCGCUUUCGCCUGUAACGAAGCGUGAGUGACGGUAAUGGGUAAAGAAGCACCGGCUAACUACGUG